Long non-coding RNA from Mastomys coucha (southern multimammate mouse), 374 nucleotides. RefSeq lists it as uncharacterized. The record is from RefSeq and is a predicted model, not a curated record. The transcript is spliced from 3 exons. Lineage: Eukaryota; Metazoa; Chordata; Mammalia; Rodentia; Muridae.
CUUCUCCCAUCAAGACACACCCUCCCUUCCAGGAAGACCCUUGGGAACAAUUUACCUGAGCUGUAAAUUAAAGAGGAGAUGACAAUCCAGAGUCUGUUUUAGAGAAAAUGUCUGAAGACCCAGAGGAAAUGUAGGCAACUCAGUCAGUCAGCAUCCCAAAUAUCACUGCCUCUAUUCAAUCAAAUCCACCCCUUUCCGUGAUGUAUUCUCUAAUACCUAAUGUAGGGAGACUGGAGUCAGAAGCCCUUGGAAAAACUACAUACAUUCUUAUGUCUAUUUCUAUAAUAACUAUAUAGAAGAAGAAGUUAUAAGAUUGCUGAUAAGCAGGCACUUUGCUGCUAGCUCUUCAUACUUGAUAAUAAUUUAAUAGACAA